CCGGUAGCGCUGGAAAUUGAAGUCCUCUGUUUACCCACACAAGCGGAGGAACAGUCAAAGCUUCCUCACUCCGCUGCGGAAUGACCUGAACAGUGACCUUGGAGACCACCUUCCUGAGGCAGGAAAGGUCAGUGAGCCUCCACCAGGGUCUGCUCAGGGUAUUCU
This 165-nucleotide small RNA is filed under the name Numida meleagris (helmeted guineafowl). RNAcentral describes it as "TUC338 (ENSNMEG00000010401.1)". Lineage: Eukaryota; Metazoa; Chordata; Aves; Galliformes; Numididae. The record is from RNAcentral.